This 244-nucleotide ribosomal RNA is filed under the name uncultured bacterium. RNAcentral's name for it is "partial 16S ribosomal RNA". It matches the Rfam family "Bacterial small subunit ribosomal RNA", at positions 1282 to 1533 of the family's 1533-position model. The record is from RNAcentral.
AACGUCUCAGUUCGGAUUGUAGUCUGCAACUCGACUACAUGAAGCUGGAAUCGCUAGUAAUCGCGAAUCAGAAUGUCGCGGUGAAUACGUUCCCGGGUCUUGUACACACCGCCCGUCACACCAUGGGAGUCGGAUAUGCCCGAAGUCAGUGACCCAACCAUAUGGAGGGAGCUGCCGAAGGUGGAGCCGAUAACUGGGGUGAAGUCGUAACAAGGUAUCGAGCGGUAAGUCGUAACAAGGUAUC